GAUAUAUGUGCAGACUAAGGCUUUAAUCAACCACGUCACUGCUAAAGAGCUUGAACUUAUUAGCAUCAAGAACCAACUUCCUUAUAGAGGAAAAUGCUCCCAUAAUUCCUGCUCCUGUAAACACGAUUAUAAUAGAGAUGUUGAUCCAAUAGGUGAAAGAUGAUUUUGGAGGCUUGUAGGUCAUGUUAUAGAGAAGCAUUGGGAGGACAAAAUCUAGAGGGAUAAAGCCUAUAGCUCCAACAACACCAUUUAUGUCUCCAAAGAAUGGAAGCAUUGCUGCCAUAAAUCCACAGAAUAUCACGUAAAGUGUCCGAAGAAUUAGCCUAGGAAUCAGGUUCCUUUUGGAGAACAUUCCUUGUUUCACAUCAGCUGAUUUCUUUUCCAUGAUCUCAUAAGCUACUUGAGAAUAAACCAGGCCAAUAGCAAAGAGCUGAAGUAGUACAAAAGCGACUCCAAGGCCAAGAACCCACGUCGGAGCCAAGGAGGGUCCCUCAUCUGGCAGUAGGCUUUUGAGUAUGUUCGAAUUAGAUUUGUUUCCGAACACCCAGUAUCCAGACACCGCAGCUGAGUAGAACGUAACCA
This 582-nucleotide unclassified non-coding RNA is filed under the name Hevea brasiliensis (rubber tree). The record is from RNAcentral. Lineage: Eukaryota; Viridiplantae; Streptophyta; Magnoliopsida; Malpighiales; Euphorbiaceae.